Molecule: long non-coding RNA, 211 nt
Filed under: Panax ginseng (ginseng)
Lineage: Eukaryota; Viridiplantae; Streptophyta; Magnoliopsida; Apiales; Araliaceae
Description: long non-coding RNA (PGIN_LNC011747)
Source: RNAcentral
UCAACUGCUACGAUAUCUUGAACGACCAUAAUGAAGACACUUACGGUUUAUUUCGUUGUCGCCUAUAUCUUGCUGUCAUUUCUCGUAUUCACAUUCCUUAUCUCACUUCUUCUUCUUUCACCUUAUACUCUUUCAUCUUAUACUCCAUUGAUUCAUAAAUAAAACAUUUGCUAUACAUCAUUGAAUUGAGACAAUUAGAAGAGAUAUGUCA